UGCAGUCUUGCACAUGUGC
This 19-nucleotide non-coding RNA is filed under the name Mus musculus (house mouse). Lineage: Eukaryota; Metazoa; Chordata; Mammalia; Rodentia; Muridae. The record is from RNAcentral.